GAUUGGUAGGUAAUAUUAAUUAUUUGGAAAACAACAGGUCAUUCGUAUUGUUAUCUUAGAAAGUCUUACUAAUUAAAAUACUACAAUAGGGAAUAUUUUGACAAUGAAUGAAUUUAGUAGUGUCAACCCUGUGAUUAUGACCCGUGUAUAUAGCAAAAUCCUAAAUACACCGUUUGGUGGUGUGCGUGUCAGAUGCGGAACGUACAGAUAAGGUAAUAGGUAACAGGUGAAUAUACUAUUGGUA
This 244-nucleotide long non-coding RNA is filed under the name Mytilus galloprovincialis (Mediterranean mussel). The record is from RNAcentral. Lineage: Eukaryota; Metazoa; Mollusca; Bivalvia; Mytilida; Mytilidae.